GAGGGUAUAGCUCAGUGGGAGAGUGCCUGCUUAUUUAUCAUGCACAAGGUCCUGGGUUCGAUCCCCAGCACAAUCA
This 76-nucleotide transfer RNA is filed under the name Camelus bactrianus (Bactrian camel). It matches the Rfam family "tRNA". Rfam says of the family: Transfer RNA (tRNA) molecules are approximately 80 nucleotides in length. Their secondary structure includes four short double-helical elements and three loops (D, anti-codon, and T loops). Lineage: Eukaryota; Metazoa; Chordata; Mammalia; Artiodactyla; Camelidae. The record is from Rfam by way of RNAcentral. RNAcentral also lists the same sequence under 1 other name.